Cyprinus carpio (common carp) is the source of this 2312-nucleotide RNA transcript. It is a transcript of the gene named selenoprotein Pa-like, with no coding region annotated. The record is from RefSeq and is a predicted model, not a curated record. NCBI's taxonomy places the organism in Eukaryota, Metazoa, Chordata, Actinopteri, Cypriniformes, Cyprinidae. The transcript has 5 exons.
GUUUUUGAAACAGGGACAGAGGGACCUUUGCCCUGCUUUCAGUCAGGAAAAACAAGACGAGUAUAAAUAGGAGGAGCCGUGAGGGAGCGGGUUGUUUUCGUCUAGAACCAGCUACGAAAGUAUCUCUGCUGAAGUCUCUCAAGUAAAACAAGUUAGUGGGUCUGUUGUUUGGAGUCAUGUGGAAGGCACUCAGCCUUACCCUGGCUCUCUGCCUGCUGGUGGGCUGCAGUGCAGAGAGCGAAACAGACGGAGCCCGCUGCAAACUUCCUCCCGUGUGGAAGAUCGGAGAGGAGGAGCCCAUGAAGAACGCUCUUGGACAUGUGACGGUGGUGGCUUACCUCCAGGCCAGCUGAUUGUUCUGCUUAGAGCAAGCAUCGAAGCUCAAUGACUUGCUCCUGAAGUUUGAGAACCAAGGUUACGUGAAUAUAAACUACAUGGUGGUAAACAACCGAGACGAAAGAUCCCAGCAGCUGCACCACUUGCUCAAAGAAAGACUGAUGAAUAUCACCCUCUACGCCCAAGACCUCAGUCAGCCAGAUGUCUGGCAGGCAGUAAAUGUUGAGAAGGAUGACAUCUUGGUCUAUGACAGGUGUGGCCGACUCACUUACCAUCUGUCUCUUCCCUACACCAUCCUGAGCCACCCACAUGUGGAGGAGGCCAUAAGACGUACUUAUUGUGAUGGUGUUUGUGGAGAAUGCAGCAUUGAGAGUUCACUGCAACUUGAACAGUGCAAGAAAUCCACAGAUGAGAAUACACCAACAGAGGGAGAACAGCAUCAUCAGCACGAACAUCACGGUCAUCAUGGACAUGGUCACGAAGGGCAUCAACCCGACGGCGUGGAGAGGCACAGGCAUCAUCCUCACCAUCACCACCAUCACCACCACGGCCAACAACAGGUUGAUAUGGGUCAGCAGAUCCUGACCCAGGUUGACUUUGGUCAGGCAGCCGUUGAGCCACCAAUCAUGAAACGGCCUUGAGCUAAGCACACUAGGUGAAAAGUUCAGUACAGCUGACAGCAGGGGGCAGACGCUCCAGCCACCAGCUGAUGCUGACACUGACGACAGCUCUUUGGCGACAGCAACGGGCGUGUGGCAGGCCUCUGACACUGUGAGGGGGCUCUUCCAGCCUCCUGACACUGACAGGGCCUGAAGGAGGACAACCACAUCAGGGAGACCUGACAGUGACGUCCCGCCCCACAAGCUGAAUGAGAGCUGUCGCAAAAACCCUGAGCCUGACCAGCAGGGGACGCGAGUUGAGUAUGACAGGAGAAGUAAACAGGGCCAUUGGCUUUGUAACAAUCUUGUCUGAUCAUUUAUAGCUUCACGUAAACAUCAGUGAACCCCGUAUUGCUGGUCAAUGCUCUCGGUUAAUCUUACCAACUAGUAUUUCACACCUCAGCGUUUGGCAGCACUGGACUUUAGCAUCCCAUUCGGAACAAUUAGCAAAUUGGUUAUUGUUAGAAGGAAGAUAAAUCAUUCAGGAACAUCUAAAUGACAAAAUGUGCUCUAGAUUUGGAUAUUUUUUUGGUUACAUCAAACAAACUUUAAUGGGUCCAGUGUCUGUUUGCUUCUGAGAGUGUGUUAGGUUCAUCAUGUUAGUGUCUUUUCACCUCUAGAUGCUUUAUGUGGCCUUUAUGAAGGCAGGUGCGGAAACUAUGCACUAGUGGUGCCUGUUUGAUGUUAGGCCACACAGAGCAGAGGGCAAAGGUCACGUAACGUCCUGUAACCCUUGCUAUACCCAAUCAAAGCUAUCCUAUAUGAAAAUCUGGGGUAUUAAAAUCUUUUUUUUUUUGCUCUGGUAUUCAGUAAAUUGUUUUAGUUUUGCCGUGUGUAGAUGGAGGUGGUAAAGUAGGCAGAGAGAUUCUGAUUUUAAAAGUUUCUUCUUAAAGACCAAACACUGUUGAAUUAUCUAGAAAAUAUAUCUGUAUUCUUCUAGUUACUAGAGCAGAUUUUGUAAGGGGAUUGUAAAAUGCAUUUCAUAUUUGGCAUUACAAAAAUGUUAAUGGAUCAUAGGGAAAUGCACACAAAUUGUGAUUUUUUACUGCACAUUUAUUAGAGUGGAAUUUGUAUCCAAGGGGGUAAUUGGAAAAAGGUUAAGUUGUUGUUAUCUUGGGAAAGAUUGUUUGAAACAUUGUACAUACUUAAUGAAGGUUUUCUGGAAAAUCUAGUAUCACCUGGAAGACCUGAGAAACUGUAUGAAAAAAUGUAUGCUGUGGUGCCAGUUACAUAUGAAUGUAAAACGCAUGAGAAAUGUAAGACAGAAAAAUACAUGUUACUCAGAUCAACUCAAAUAAAAAAAAUAAAAAACCUUAA